This 527-nucleotide ribosomal RNA is filed under the name uncultured bacterium. RNAcentral's name for it is "bacterial SSU rRNA". It matches the Rfam family "Bacterial small subunit ribosomal RNA", at positions 777 to 1304 of the family's 1533-position model. The record is from RNAcentral.
AAUAGAUACCCCGGUAGUCCAUGCCGUAAACGAUGAUUACUAAGUGUUGGAGGGUUUCCGCCCUUCAGUGCUGCAGCUAACGCAUUAAGUAAUCCGCCUGGGGAGUACGACCGCAAGGUUGAAACUCAAAAGAAUUGACGGGGGCCCGCACAAGCGGUGGAGCAUGUGGUUUAAUUCGAAGCUACGCGAAGAACCUUACCAGGUCUUGACAUCUUCUGCCAACCUAAGAGAUUAGGCGUUCCCUUCGGGGACAGAAUGACAGGUGGUGCAUGGUUGUCGUCAGCUCGUGUCGUGAGAUGUUGGGUUAAGUCCCGCAACGAGCGCAACCCUUAUUACUAGUUGCCAGCAUUCAGUUGGGCACUCUAGUGAGACUGCCGGUGACAAACCGGAGGAAGGUGGGGACGACGUCAAAUCAUCAUGCCCCUUAUGACCUGGGCUACACACGUGCUACAAUGGAUGGUACAACGAGUCGCGAAACCGCGAGGUUUAGCUAAUCUCUUAAAACCAUUCUCAGUUCGGACUGUAGG